Mesocricetus auratus (golden hamster) is the source of this 79-nucleotide non-coding RNA. The record is from Rfam. Lineage: Eukaryota; Metazoa; Chordata; Mammalia; Rodentia; Cricetidae.
GAGUCUCUGAUGACAUACUGAUUUCCCAAAAAGAUCUGAUGACAUAGAAAUCAUGCUCAAUAUGAUUACGCUUAAGCUC